CCUACGGGGGGCAGCAGUGAGGAAUAUUGGUCAAUGGGCGCGAGCCUGAACCAGCCAAGUAGCGUGAAGGAUGACUGCCCUACGGGUUGUAAACUUCUUUUAUAAAGGAAUAAAGUGAGGCACGUGUGCCUUUUUGUAUGUACUUUAUGAAUAAGGAUCGGGUAACUCCGUGCCAGCAGCCGCGGUAAUACGGAGGAUCCGAGCGUUAUCCGGAUUUAUUGGGUUUAAAGGGAGCGUAGAUGGGUUGUUAAGUCAGUUGUGAAAGUUUGCGGCUCAACCGUAAAAUUGCAAUUGAUACUGGCAGUCUUGAGUACAGUUGAGGUAGGCGGAAUUCGUGGUGUAGCGGUGAAAUGCGUAGAUAUCACGAAGAACUCCGAUUGCGAAGGCAGCUUACUAGGCUACUUCUGACGUUGAGGCACGAAAGCGUGGGGAGCAAACAGGAUUAGAUACCCCGGUAGUC
Molecule: ribosomal RNA, 460 nt
Filed under: uncultured bacterium
Lineage: Bacteria
Description: partial 16S ribosomal RNA
Rfam family: Bacterial small subunit ribosomal RNA
Source: RNAcentral